RNAcentral lists this ribosomal RNA (449 nucleotides) under uncultured prokaryote. RNAcentral describes it as "bacterial SSU rRNA". It matches the Rfam family "Bacterial small subunit ribosomal RNA", at positions 355 to 796 of the family's 1533-position model. The record is from RNAcentral.
UGGGGAAUCUUGCACAAUGGGCGAAAGCCUGAUCCAGCAACGCCGCGUGGAGGAUGAAGGCCCUCGGGUCGUAAACUCCUGUCAGGUGGGACGAAAAGAUGUCGAUCAAUACCCGGCAUCCUUGACGGUACCACCGGAGGAGGCCCCGGCUAACUCCGUGCCAGCAGCCGCGGUAAUACGGAGGGGGCGAGCGUUAUUCGGAAUCAUUGGGCGUAAAGGGCGCGUAGGCGGCUUGGCAAGUCAGGGGUGAAAUCCCUCGGCUCAACCGAGGAACUGCCGCUGAAACUGUCGGGCUUGAGGCCGGGAGAGGGUAGUGGAAUUCCCAGUGUAGCGGUGAAAUGCGUAGAUAUUGGGAGGAACACCGGUGGCGAAGGCGGCUACCUGGACCGGUUCUGACGCUGAGGCGCGAAAGUGUGGGGAGCAAACAGGAUUAGAUACCCGUGUAGUCC